AGACUAUAUGCAUCACAUACAAGUAAUUUUAAGUAUCAUCAUGCAUUAAAUAUAAUAUGGUCAUAACAUAUAUAAUCUCAAUUAAUCAUUUAGCCCAAUUCUAUUGUUAGGAAACAAGAAGAAGGGAAACCUAAACUAAGUUUAGAGAUUUCCUACCCGAUGGAGUGCAGAAUCAAAUUUCACGUUCUGGGAGGCUAAACUUGCAAAUAUCUGUCCUCUAAUCCAUCCACACGAACUAUCGUGAUCAAGAAUUCCCAACCUUGAGUUGAACCACACUCCUAAAGUUUCCUCUUUAAUCGACCAUUAGGACAAAUGGAUGUGGCUAGUUCAACCUUUGGGAUAGCAAAUGGGUCUUGUGUAUGGUGAGUGUAAAGAACACUUUCUCUACAACCAAGAUCAAGGGUGACAACUUGUAGUGUCCUUUGAUCUUGAAGAAGAAGAUAGAGAUGAAGAAAAAGAUAAUGAAAUCAUGGUUGACAGAAGAAGACACCCCUUCUUCCUCCUCCUCUUGCAUGGUAUAGAGAAUGACCACUCC
Molecule: unclassified non-coding RNA, 535 nt
Filed under: Hevea brasiliensis (rubber tree)
Lineage: Eukaryota; Viridiplantae; Streptophyta; Magnoliopsida; Malpighiales; Euphorbiaceae
Source: RNAcentral